RNAcentral lists this ribosomal RNA (581 nucleotides) under Saccharomyces cerevisiae (brewer's yeast). Its description in RNAcentral is "partial large subunit ribosomal RNA". It matches the Rfam family "Eukaryotic large subunit ribosomal RNA", at positions 76 to 664 of the family's 3401-position model. Lineage: Eukaryota; Fungi; Ascomycota; Saccharomycetes; Saccharomycetales; Saccharomycetaceae. The record is from RNAcentral.
UGCCUUUAGUACGGCGAGUGAAGCGGCAAAAGCUCAAAUUUGAAAUCUGGUACCUUCGGUGCCCGAGUUGUAAUUUGGAGAGGGCAACUUUGGGGCCGUUCCUUGUCUAUGUUCCUUGGAACAGGACGUCAUAGAGGGUGAGAAUCCCGUGUGGCGAGGAGUGCGGUUCUUUGUAAAGUGCCUUCGAAGAGUCGAGUUGUUUGGGAAUGCAGCUCUAAGUGGGUGGUAAAUUCCAUCUAAAGCUAAAUAUUGGCGAGAGACCGAUAGCGAACAAGUACAGUGAUGGAAAGAUGAAAAGAACUUUGAAAAGAGAGUGAAAAAGUACGUGAAAUUGUUGAAAGGGAAGGGCAUUUGAUCAGACAUGGUGUUUUGUGCCCUCUGCUCCUUGUGGGUAGGGGAAUCUCGCAUUUCACUGGGCCAGCAUCAGUUUUGGUGGCAGGAUAAAUCCAUAGGAAUGUAGCUUGCCUCGGUAAGUAUUAUAGCCUGUGGGAAUACUGCCAGCUGGGACUGAGGACUGCGACGUAAGUCAAGGAUGCUGGCAUAAUGGUUAUAUGCCGCCCGUCUUGAACCCCCGAAACCCA